RNAcentral lists this ribosomal RNA (720 nucleotides) under Bacillus tropicus. Its description in RNAcentral is "bacterial SSU rRNA". It matches the Rfam family "Bacterial small subunit ribosomal RNA", at positions 48 to 748 of the family's 1533-position model. The record is from RNAcentral. Lineage: Bacteria; Bacillati; Bacillota; Bacilli; Caryophanales; Bacillaceae.
CUAAUACAUGCAAGUCGAGCGAAUGGAUUAAGAGCUUGCUCUUAUGAAGUUAGCGGCGGACGGGUGAGUAACACGUGGGUAACCUGCCCAUAAGACUGGGAUAACUCCGGGAAACCGGGGCUAAUACCGGAUAACAUUUUGAACCGCAUGGUUCGAAAUUGAAAGGCGGCUUCGGCUGUCACUUAUGGAUGGACCCGCGUCGCAUUAGCUAGUUGGUGAGGUAACGGCUCACCAAGGCAACGAUGCGUAGCCGACCUGAGAGGGUGAUCGGCCACACUGGGACUGAGACACGGCCCAGACUCCUACGGGAGGCAGCAGUAGGGAAUCUUCCGCAAUGGACGAAAGUCUGACGGAGCAACGCCGCGUGAGUGAUGAAGGCUUUCGGGUCGUAAAACUCUGUUGUUAGGGAAGAACAAGUGCUAGUUGAAUAAGCUGGCACCUUGACGGUACCUAACCAGAAAGCCACGGCUAACUACGUGCCAGCAGCCGCGGUAAUACGUAGGUGGCAAGCGUUAUCCGGAAUUAUUGGGCGUAAAGCGCGCGCAGGUGGUUUCUUAAGUCUGAUGUGAAAGCCCACGGCUCAACCGUGGAGGGUCAUUGGAAACUGGGAGACUUGAGUGCAGAAGAGGAAAGUGGAAUUCCAUGUGUAGCGGUGAAAUGCGUAGAGAUAUGGAGGAACACCAGUGGCGAAGGCGACUUUCUGGUCUGUAACUGACACUG